Long non-coding RNA from Eucalyptus grandis, 1415 nucleotides. RefSeq lists it as uncharacterized. The transcript has 3 exons. Lineage: Eukaryota; Viridiplantae; Streptophyta; Magnoliopsida; Myrtales; Myrtaceae. The record is from RefSeq and is a predicted model, not a curated record.
AUACGACAUCACGAGAGGUCGAAACCUCGCCUCUGACUUGAUUUCCCGUUAAGCAGAUGAAACAAUGCAGCCAUCUACAAGCUGAGAGGAGAGAAAGAUGAAAUGGCGAGACUGGAUCUUCAACCAAAGUUAGGACCCCAGCGUGCAAUGAGGAGGCUCCUCUUGCUCGAAUACUGGCUUUUAACCCAGAGGAAUCCUAGCGCGCUCCUUCUUCCCCAGAUGUGUUGAACCGGAUAGUAAGCGAUGUCCAAAUUACCAGAGCCAUUGUGUCAAUUAAGAGGUUCGUGCGUCCCAUACUUCUUCACGAGAGGUCGAAACCACGUCUCUGACUUGAUUCCCCGUUGAAGCAGACGAAACAAUACAGCCAUCCACAAGCUGAGAGGAGAAUUCGAAAAAGAUGGAAAAAGGGCUAGAGUGGUUCUUCAACCAAAGUUAAAACACUACUGUGCGUUGAAGAACAAAUCCACCAAUGAAAGAUUCCAAGUGGUGAAAAUGUUCUCUGUUCAAUGACGGAAAAGGUUGGAGAAAUUUGCUCGAAGGAUUGGAAGUUGGGCAAGCAUCGCAUAAAUGCAUAUUACCAGGCGUCAUACGCAUAUUGCAACUCACUCAAAGCAGCAUGUUUAACUACUAACCAACUGGAAAAGGUAGUAUCACGCAACAAAAGAUGUGUUGAAAAUGGGCAUAGAUUUUUCCUGUGACUUUCAAAGAGUUUGCUGGCUUGUUCCAUCCAAGCACCGGCAAUGCUUUGACCAUUAUUGUGGAUGAAGAUAUAUGGGGCGGGCAGCACUAAGCGCUAAAAUAUAUGCUAGGUACAAAGGGAAAUCAGAGAACAGCAUUCGCUUCAUUUUCUUGCGCUAGCUCAAGAUCACCACAGCCGCAGCCACUGCCACUCCAACAGCACCUUCUGCCAAUAUGGCACCAUUCGCUACUGUCUUGCUGCCUGAAGAACUUGGCGUGAACCCCAGUUCAGAGAGCUUCUUAUGCAAGAUUGCAUAAUCUCUGAAAAUUGCAUCCUCAUCCUGCCACAUGCUUGACAACAUUAGGGAAAGAAGAGCAUAUAGCAAAAGAAAACGAGGAGGAAAAGAAGCACGGUAUCAAAUUGUCCGUUUGUCUCUUUUCAAGGUCGUGCCAACCACCAUGAGAGAGUUGCGGGAACAACAACCAAUUCAAAUAUCAAAUCAGGUGUUCCCAGUAGCACAAUGAUGAUGCUCUAGCCUAGAGGUUUCAGGGAACCACAUAAUAUAUCAAUCCCAACACAUGUAUGUAUCUACCCAACAUUUGAUGUGCGAUCUCAUCAUGAAUAUUUCCUGGUCUCUACAUAGAAGAUAGUGAUGGAACAGACUGAAUGCUUACUUUUAAGCAUCACAAGCCUACACAGCAUAAAUUCCAUGAAAAACACUUUCCAUCUCUUUUCA